GACGAACGCUGGCGGCGUGCUUAACACAUGCAAGUCGAACGGAAAGGCCCUGCUUUUGUGGGGUGCUCGAGUGGCGAACGGGUGAGUAACACGUGAGUAACCUGCCCUGGACUUUGGGAUAACUUCAGGAAACUGGGGCUAAUACCGGAUAGGAGCUCCUGCUGCAUGGUGGGGGUGGGAAAGUUUCGGCGGUUGGGGAUGGACUCGCGGCUUAUCAGCUUGUUGGUGGGGUAGUGGCUUACCAAGGCUUAGACGGGUAGCCGGCCUGAGAGGGUGACCGGCCACAUUGGGACUGAGAUACGGCCCAGACUCCUACGGGAGGCAGCAGUGGGGAAUAUUGCACAAUGGGCGGAAGCCUGAUGCAGCAACGCCGCGUGCGGGAUGACGGCCUUCGGGUUGUAAACCGCUUUCGCCUGUGACGAAGCGUGAGUGACGGUAAUGGGUAAAGAAGCACCGGCUAACUACGUG
RNAcentral lists this ribosomal RNA (468 nucleotides) under uncultured bacterium. RNAcentral's name for it is "partial 16S ribosomal RNA". It matches the Rfam family "Bacterial small subunit ribosomal RNA", at positions 28 to 507 of the family's 1533-position model. The record is from RNAcentral.